GCCAGCUAUAAAACCUACCUAGUAAAUAGAUCUAAAACAUUAAAAAAUAACAACUAAAAAAGAGAAAGAUCAGAUCGCGACGUAGAAACAAAUCCGAUCUAUUAUCACAGAGCUAACAGAUAAAAAAACAAAUGCUAGCGUAGAUCGAGUAAAUUUCACCAUUAUACCUUUCUAAACAACAGAAACCAAACUCCAACAAAAUUGGAAAAUAGCAAAACGGAUCAAAAGGGAUAGCGAAAGAGAAAAUCAGAAAGAAAAUAAGCAGAUUUGAAUAGAAUCGAAAAAAAGAGUCGGUGUAGCUUCUUUUUCGUGGUUUACCUGCUAGGUGGAUGCGAUUGAUGGGUAGAAUUUUCCCUCCGCCUCUCGCAAAACUUUGAAAGGAGGAAUCGGCAAAAGGGCAGAGAGAAAUUUGUGGAGGCUAUGCUUUGAAAAGAG
This 435-nucleotide unclassified non-coding RNA is filed under the name Hevea brasiliensis (rubber tree). Lineage: Eukaryota; Viridiplantae; Streptophyta; Magnoliopsida; Malpighiales; Euphorbiaceae. The record is from RNAcentral.